UUGAUCCAUAAAAAUAGGAUA
This is a non-coding RNA of Caenorhabditis elegans, 21 nucleotides long. The record is from Ensembl. Lineage: Eukaryota; Metazoa; Nematoda; Chromadorea; Rhabditida; Rhabditidae.